GCAACGCGAAAACCUUUACCCACCUUUGACAUGGCAGGAAUCCUGAAGAGAUUUGGGAGUGCUCGAAAGAGAACCUGCACACAGGUGCUGCAUGGCUGUCGUCAGCUCGUGUCGUGAGAUGUUGGGUUAAGUCCCGCAACCGAGCGCAACCCUUGCCAUUAGUUGCUACGAAAGGGCACUCUAAUGAGACUGCCGGUGACAAACCGGAGGAAGGUGGGGAUGACGUCAAGUCCUCAUGGCCCUUAUGGGUAGGGCUUCACACGUCAUACAAUGGUCGGUACAGAGGGUUGCCAAGCCGCGAGGUGGAGCCAAUCCCAGAAAGCCGAUCGUAGUCCGGAUUGUUCUCUGCAACUCGAGAGCAUGAAGUCGGAAUCGCUAGUAAUCGCGGAUCAGCAUGUCGCGGUGAAUACGUUCCCGGGUCUU
RNAcentral lists this ribosomal RNA (423 nucleotides) under uncultured Thiobacillus sp. RNAcentral's name for it is "bacterial SSU rRNA". It matches the Rfam family "Bacterial small subunit ribosomal RNA", at positions 956 to 1382 of the family's 1533-position model. Lineage: Bacteria; Pseudomonadati; Pseudomonadota; Betaproteobacteria; Nitrosomonadales; Thiobacillaceae. The record is from RNAcentral.